CCGGGGAUAACAGGCUUAUCUCCCCCAAGAGUUCACAUCGACGGGGAGGUUUGGCACCUCGAUGUCGGCUCAUCGCAUCCUGGGGCUGUAGUCGGUCCCAAGGGUUGGGCUGUUCGCCCAUUAAAGCGGUACGCGAGCUGGGUUCAGAACGUCGUGAGACAGUUCGGUCCCUAUCCGUCGUGGGCGUAGGAAAUUUGAGAGGAGCUGUCCUUAGUACGAGAGGACCGGGAUGGACAUACCUCUGGUGUACCAGUUGUCGUGCCAACGGCAUAGCUGGGUAGCUAUGUGUGGACGGGAUAAGUGCUGAAAGCAUCUAAGCAUGAAGCCCCCCUCAAGAUGAGAUUUCCCAACUUCGGUUAUAAGAUCCCUCAAAGAUGAUGAGGUUAAUAGGUUCGAGGUGGAAGCAUGGUGACAUGUGGAGCUGACGAAUACUAA
This 435-nucleotide ribosomal RNA is filed under the name Staphylococcus aureus. Its description in RNAcentral is "partial 23S ribosomal RNA". It matches the Rfam family "Bacterial large subunit ribosomal RNA", at positions 2468 to 2904 of the family's 2925-position model. The record is from RNAcentral. Lineage: Bacteria; Bacillati; Bacillota; Bacilli; Caryophanales; Staphylococcaceae.